ACUUAAGCAUAUCAAUAAGCGGAGGAAAAGAAACCAACAGGGAUUGCCCUAGUAACGGCGAGUGAAGCGGCAACAGCUCAAAUUUGAAAUCUGGCGUCUUUGGCGUCCGAGUUGUAAUUUGCAGAGGGCGCUUUGGCAUUGGCAGCGGUCCAAGUUCCUUGGAACAGGACGUCACAGAGGGUGAGAAUCCCGUACGUGGUCGCUAGCCUUUACCGUGUAAAGCCCCUUCGACGAGUCGAGUUGUUUGGGAAUGCAGCUCUAAAUGGGAGGUAAAUUUCUUCUAAAGCUAAAUACUGGCCAGAGACCGAUAGCGCACAAGUAGAGUGAUCGAAAGAUGAAAAGCACUUUGGAAAGAGAGUUAAAAAGCACGUGAAAUUGUUGAAAGGGAAGCGCUUGCAGCCAGACUUGCCUGUAGUUGCUCAUCCGGGUUUUUACCCGGUGCACUCUUCUAUAGGCAGGCCAGCAUCAGUUUGGGCGGUUGGAUAAAGGUCUCUGUCAUGUACCUCUCUUCGGGGAGAUCUUAUAGGGGAGACGACAUGCAACCAGCCUGGACUGAGGUCCGCGCAUCUGCUAGGAUGCUGGCGUAAUGGCUGUAAGCGGCCCGUCUUGAAACACGGACCAAGGAGUCUAACAUCUAUGCGAGUGUUUGGGUGUCAAGCCCGAGCGCGUAAUGAAAGUGAACGGAGGUGGGAACCUUUCGGGGUGCACCAUCGACCGAUCCUGAUGUCUUCGGAUGGAUUUGAGUAAGAGCAUAGCUGUUGGGACCCGAAAGAUGGUGAACUAUGCUUGAAUAGGGUGAAGCCAGAGGAAACUCUGGUGGAGGCUCGCAGCGGUUCUGACGUGCAAAUCGAUCGUCAAAUUUGGGCAUAGGGGCGAAAGACUAAUCGAACUAUCUAGUAGCUGGGUUCCUGCCGAAGUUCCC
RNAcentral lists this ribosomal RNA (922 nucleotides) under Didysimulans italica. Its description in RNAcentral is "eukaryotic LSU rRNA". It matches the Rfam family "Eukaryotic large subunit ribosomal RNA", at positions 32 to 971 of the family's 3401-position model. Lineage: Eukaryota; Fungi; Ascomycota; Dothideomycetes; Pleosporales; Didymellaceae. The record is from RNAcentral.